UUUCCUGCCCUCGAGGAGCUCACAGUCUAGUAUGUCUCCUCCCUACUAGACUGAGGCUCCUUGAGGACAGGGAUCGUCAUACUCACCU
RNAcentral lists this microRNA precursor (88 nucleotides) under Castor canadensis (American beaver). Its description in RNAcentral is "miRNA (ENSCCNG00000027945.1)". The stretch from base 4 to 71 matches the Rfam family "mir-28 microRNA precursor family". The record is from RNAcentral. Lineage: Eukaryota; Metazoa; Chordata; Mammalia; Rodentia; Castoridae.